Molecule: microRNA precursor, 74 nt
Filed under: Pteropus alecto (black flying fox)
Lineage: Eukaryota; Metazoa; Chordata; Mammalia; Chiroptera; Pteropodidae
Description: microRNA pal-mir-433 precursor
Gene: pal-mir-433
Source: miRBase by way of RNAcentral
UGCGGUGAGCCUGUCAUCGUUCAGAGAGGCCAGGUCCUCCUUGUCCAGAAGGAUCAUGAUGGGCUCCUCGGUGU